Molecule: ribosomal RNA, 569 nt
Filed under: Staphylococcus aureus
Lineage: Bacteria; Bacillati; Bacillota; Bacilli; Caryophanales; Staphylococcaceae
Description: partial 23S ribosomal RNA
Rfam family: Bacterial large subunit ribosomal RNA
Source: RNAcentral
AGACAUUGUGUCUUCGAGUCGUUGAUUUCACACUGCCGAGAAAAGCCUCUAGAUAGAAAAUAGGUGCCCGUACCGCAAACCGACACAGGUAGUCAAGAUGAGAAUUCUAAGGUGAGCGAGCGAACUCUCGUUAAGGAACUCGGCAAAAUGACCCCGUAACUUCGGGAGAAGGGGUGCUCUUUAGGGUUAACGCCCAGAAGAGCCGCAGUGAAUAGGCCCAAGCGACUGUUUAUCAAAAACACAGGUCUCUGCUAAACCGUAAGGUGAUGUAUAGGGGCUGACGCCUGCCCGGUGCUGGAAGGUUAAGAGGAGUGGUUAGCUUCUGCGAAGCUACGAAUCGAAGCCCCAGUAAACGGCGGCCGUAACUAUAACGGUCCUAAGGUAGCGAAAUUCCUUGUCGGGUAAGUUCCGACCCGCACGAAAGGCGUAACGAUUUGGGCACUGUCUCAACGAGAGACUCGGUGAAAUCAUAGUACCUGUGAAGAUGCAGGUUACCCGCGACAGGACGGAAAGACCCCGUGGAGCUUUACUGUAGCCUGAUAUUGAAAUUCGGCACAGCUUGUACAGGA